UACAGAGGGGGCAAGCGUUAUUCGGAAUUAUUGGGCGUAAAGGGCGCGUAGGCGGCUUUUCAAGUGACGGGUGAAGUCCCUCGGCUUAACCGAGGAACUGCCUGUCAGACUGGAAGGCUUGAGACCGGGAGAGGUGAGUGGAAUUCCCAGUGUAGCGGUGAAAUGCGUAGAUAUUCGGAAGAACACCAGUGGCGAAGGCGGCUCACUGGCUCGAUACUGACGCUGAGGUGCGAAAGCGUGGGGAGCAAACAGG
Molecule: ribosomal RNA, 253 nt
Filed under: uncultured bacterium
Lineage: Bacteria
Description: partial 16S ribosomal RNA
Rfam family: Bacterial small subunit ribosomal RNA
Source: RNAcentral